GACGAACGCUGGCGGCGUGCUUCAUACAUGCAAGUCGAACGAGAAGCUGACUUCGGUCAGUGGAAAGUGGCGGACGGGUGAGUAAUAUGUAGGAAAUCUGCCUUUAGGAGGGGGACAACAGAGGGAAACUUCUGCUAAUACCCCAUAUGAGCGUAGCUGAAAUGCUAUUCUUGAAAACUCCGGUGCCUAAAGAUGAGCCUGCAUCUGAUUAGCUAGUUGGUAGUGUAAUGGACUACCAAGGCGACGAUCAGUAGCUGGUUUGAGAGGAUGAUCAGCCACAAUGGGACUGAGACACGGCACAUACUCCUACGGGAGACAGCAGUAGGGAAUUUUGCGCAAUGGGCGAAAGCCUGACGAAGCAACGCCGCGUGAACGAUUAAGCCCUUCGGGGUGUAAAGUUCUGUCAGUGGGGACGAAACUUGACGGUACCCACAGAGGAAGCACCGGCUAACUCCGUG
This 458-nucleotide ribosomal RNA is filed under the name uncultured bacterium. Its description in RNAcentral is "partial 16S ribosomal RNA". It matches the Rfam family "Bacterial small subunit ribosomal RNA", at positions 28 to 507 of the family's 1533-position model. The record is from RNAcentral.